UUUCGAAACCAAUGCAAAAAAAAGAAAAAAUUACCUGUGAAGAGAACUCUGCUGAUCAUCCCGGGAAGAACCAUCAUAAAGAAUGGCAACACCUUGAGACACAUCAUGCAACAAAGAACUGCCUGUGCUGCCCUUACCCAUAGUCCAACCGCCAUGACAAACACAAAGUAAAGGACCAGCACCACGAUGUCCACCACCUCCAGAGAUGCCUUUGUGGAGUUCUUAUUGCUGGACAUUUUCGUCUUUCUGCUUUUCCAAGGUGCAAGAUGGCCGACUCUGCAAGACAUGUGAAUGGAGACAGUUCAUGAUUGUUCUCAGCAGGUACACAUUGAUGGUGGCAAAUUUAAAAUAACAUUAUCCUUUGGUGAAGCAAUACAAGGUGAAAGUAGGUGGAUAGGUGUGGCUGAGCCGAUUACAUCAUAACCAGAUUGCUGUUUAUAAAGUAAGCCAGGAAAAUGUUGUGAAAGUGUGAAGAAUAUGAUUCACUGUGUUUUAUGACAGCAGCUAUACAGCGAGAUAUUAAAGUUCACUGUAUGGGGCCAAAUAUUCAAAAUACUCAACUUUAUUAAGUUUAAUUAACCACUUUACAUCUGGGAACAUUUUUAAUUGUCCCACACACGUUAAAAUCUGAAUCUCUUGCUGGAAAAUUUGUGGGCAUGUUCUGUAAAUUAAAUAAUGCAAAUCCUCAAA
Molecule: long non-coding RNA, 690 nt
Organism: Rana temporaria (common frog)
Lineage: Eukaryota; Metazoa; Chordata; Amphibia; Anura; Ranidae
Exons: 2
Source: RefSeq, a predicted model, not a curated record